Molecule: non-coding RNA, 31 nt
Filed under: Prorocentrum micans
Lineage: Eukaryota; Dinophyceae; Prorocentrales; Prorocentraceae
Source: RNAcentral
UUUUUUUUUUUUUUUUUUUUUUUUUUUUUGC